UACGGGGGGAGCAAGCGUUGUUCGGAUUUACUGGGCGUAAAGGGCGCGUAGGCGGCGUGACAAGUCACUUGUGAAAUCUCCGGGCUUAACUCGGAACGGUCAAGUGAUACUGUCGUGCUAGAGUGCGGAAGGGGCAACUGGAAUUCUUGGUGUAGCGGUGAAAUGCGUAGAUAUCAAGAGGAACACCGGUGGCGAAGGCGGCAUCCUGGACCGAUACUGACGCUGAUGAGCGAAAGCCAGGGGAGCAAACGGG
RNAcentral lists this ribosomal RNA (253 nucleotides) under uncultured bacterium. Its description in RNAcentral is "partial 16S ribosomal RNA". It matches the Rfam family "Bacterial small subunit ribosomal RNA", at positions 524 to 776 of the family's 1533-position model. The record is from RNAcentral.